CGCUCAGACGCCGCGCGGGGCGGGGAUUGGUCUGUGCUCUUCUCUCCGCUCCUCGCGGCUCGCGGCGG
Gorilla gorilla gorilla (western lowland gorilla) is the source of this 68-nucleotide non-coding RNA. Lineage: Eukaryota; Metazoa; Chordata; Mammalia; Primates; Hominidae. The record is from RefSeq and is marked provisional.